Molecule: long non-coding RNA, 358 nt
Filed under: Phoenix dactylifera (date palm)
Lineage: Eukaryota; Viridiplantae; Streptophyta; Magnoliopsida; Arecales; Arecaceae
Description: long non-coding RNA (PDAC_LNC002214)
Source: RNAcentral
CUCACGAUUUUUGAGUAUGGUCUUGGACUUACCGUUUGGUUUUCACUUUUGACUGUUUUGAAGUACUGUUUGGCUUUUGGAGCAACUAAACGCCAUCAAUUCUUUAGACCAGCGUUAGCCUGAACCUUAUCCCGAAUAAAGAUCUCAUUGACUUCUUCCUUCUUGUGGUUCCCAGAAUCUUCCCCAGCUCCAACUCCCGAAUCACCACCCCAAGUAGAUAAGUUUUAAUAUUAAAAAAAAAUUGAUUUGUUCUAAUGAUAAUCUUGUGUCUAGCUAGUUUUCUUCGAGAAGUGAAGUAGGUGUAGAAGUUCAAACUAGACUUCUCAUGCUGAUGAGUUCUUAAGCAACACUCCCCCUC